Molecule: non-coding RNA, 1202 nt
Organism: Poecilia reticulata (guppy)
Lineage: Eukaryota; Metazoa; Chordata; Actinopteri; Cyprinodontiformes; Poeciliidae
Source: RefSeq, a predicted model, not a curated record
UUUCCAGUGUGUUUAAACCAAUCAGAAUUCAGACUGCCGCUGCAAGUCCCGCCCUUCUUCCCCGUGUCUGUAGCAUUGUGUGUGAGCGGGAGAGAUCCGCCAUGAGGAGGAAACGGUUAAGCUGUGCAGCGUGAGAGUCUGUGUUAAGACGGUUAUAGUACUGGAUACGAACCCGAAACAAACCCUUUCCCAGAUAGAAUGGCUGUUUAUCAUCCGACUUCUAAGCUGGAAGUUGUGAAGUGAGUAAAAAAGAUUGAACUUCAGUUUUUCUGCCGAGCAUUGUUAGCUAACUCGUUGGCCUCGUUAGCUCUUAUUUGCUACUGGUUCCUCGAAGUUCAUCUCGUUCUCCCUUCAGCUGAAGUGCCCCACGGUCCGAACUGAGAGCCACCAUGUUGUUGUCCCAAACGUGUUGUUGUCCCAAACGUGUCGCAUUGAGAUCGGUCAGGUUUUUUUUCUAUGGUGGAUUGUUCCUGAGGUGGAUUCCUCCUGUGACUUUGAUGGCGAGCUUUCCCACCUGGAUUUAGAAAGAACUGGAUUCCUUCUUUUCCAUUUGGAGUCCUGCUGCACCCUGUGGUGUGGUAGGCCUGUAUCACUCAGAUCUUCACACACAGUUGUUUAUGAGUGAGACCACUGACUGACAUUUUUAAUUCUCAUUGUUUAAUCCUGUAAUUUCUGACCUUACAUUUUGGACCAGUUUUUAUUUGGAACUUUAUAACAAACUGCUGUGUAGGAAAUUCUCCUCAUGUGAACGGUGUUGAGUUGAACCUAAUUGGAACUGAAAUUGAUUAAUCUGUUGCCUCUUACUAUUUAGAAUUCAGAUUACCAGGCUGCACCCAACAGUUCGUAAAACUGAGAACUAGCGCUUGGCCAAGUAUUAUUAUUAUUUCUUGUAUUUUAUUGUGUGUAAUUUUAUUUUCAUAAUUGUGUGUCUUGUACAACUGUUUGUCAAUUAUAUGGUUUAUGUCGCUAAAGCCAGUUGUUCUUUAAAUUAAUUUAACUGCCUUUGUGUGUGAUUUAAACACCCCACCAUGCUCCAAUAGCCGAACCUAUUGGCCCAUUCAUCUAAUAUAUAUAAAAUACCCUUCUCAUCUGUGACCAUGAGAGCUGAGCAGAUGCAUCUCAUCUAAUGCAGUCUUUGACUGACCCCAGUCACUGUGUCAGAAUAACAUUACACCUCUCCUUCCUGUUGGCCUUUCCACACA